AGAUUGAACGCUGGCGGCAUGCCUAACACAUGCAAGUCGAACGGCAGCGCGGGUAGCAAUACCUGGCGGCGAGUGGCGGACGGGUGAGGAAUACAUAGGAAUCUACCCUGUCGUGGGGGAUAACGUAGGGAAACUUACGCUAAUACCGCAUACGACCGAGAGGUGAAAGCGGCGGACCGCAAGGCGUCGCGCGGCUGGAUGAGCCUAUGUCCGAUUAGCUAGUUGGCGGGUAAGAGCCCACCAAGGCGACGAUCGGUAGCUGGUCUGAGAGGAUGAUCAGCCACACUGGGACUGAGACACGGCCCAGACUCCUACGGGAGGCAGCAGUGGGGAAUAUUGGACAAUGGGCGCAAGCCUGAUCCAGCAAUGCCGCGUGUGUGAAGAAGGCCUUCGGUUGUAAAGCUACUUUUGUUGGGAAGAAAGCACGUGGUAAUACCCUGGUGUUCGUGUACGGUACCCAAAGAAUAAGACACCGGCUAACUCGUG
Molecule: ribosomal RNA, 486 nt
Filed under: uncultured soil bacterium
Lineage: Bacteria
Description: bacterial SSU rRNA
Rfam family: Bacterial small subunit ribosomal RNA
Source: RNAcentral